RNAcentral lists this ribosomal RNA (673 nucleotides) under uncultured Hyphomicrobiales bacterium. RNAcentral's name for it is "bacterial SSU rRNA". It matches the Rfam family "Bacterial small subunit ribosomal RNA", at positions 54 to 763 of the family's 1533-position model. Lineage: Bacteria; Pseudomonadati; Pseudomonadota; Alphaproteobacteria; Hyphomicrobiales. The record is from RNAcentral.
CAUGCAAGUCGAACGUGAAGCCACCUUCGGGUGGUGGAAAGUGGCAGACGGGUGAGUAACGCGUGGGAACGUGCCUUUCGGUUCGGAAUAACCCAGGGAAACUUGGGCUAAUACCGGAUACGCCCUUCGGGGGAAAGAUUCAUCGCCGAAAGAUCGGCCCGCGUCGGAUUAGCUUGUUGGUGGGGUAAAAGCCUACCAAGGCGACGAUCCGUAGCUGGUCUGAGAGGAUGAUCAGCCACACUGGGACUGAGACACGGCCCAGACUCCUACGGGAGGCAGCAGUGGGGAAUAUUGGACAAUGGGCGCAAGCCUGAUCCAGCCAUGCCGCGUGGGUGAAGAAGGCCCUAGGGUUGUAAAUCCCUUUCAGCGGGGAAGAUAAUGACGGUACCCGCAGAAGAAGCCCCGGCUAACUCCGUGCCAGCAGCCGCGGUAAUACGGAGGGGGCUAGCGUUGUUCGGAAUUACUGGGCGUAAAGCGCGCGUAGGCGGACCUGCAAGUCGGGGGUGAAAGCCCGAGGCUCAACCUCGGAACUGCCUUCGAUACUGCGGGUCUCGAGUCCGGGAGAGGUGAGUGGAAUUCCUAGUGUAGAGGUGAAAUUCGUAGAUAUUAGGAAGAACACCAGUGGCGAAGGCGGCUCACUGGCCCGGUACUGACGCUGAGGCGCGAAAGCGUG